Molecule: long non-coding RNA, 670 nt
Organism: Syzygium oleosum
Lineage: Eukaryota; Viridiplantae; Streptophyta; Magnoliopsida; Myrtales; Myrtaceae
Exons: 2
Source: RefSeq, a predicted model, not a curated record
UACCUUCCAUGUGCUUGCUCUAUGUGGAGAAGACAUAAAUUUUCUUCUUCCACCUGUCAGUGCUUUGUUAGUUUCUUACCAUGCUCCUAGUCUCACGAAAGUGACGUAAUAUCAUAUGUUGAUGUUGCGAAUAUCAUUUUGUCCUGCAUAGGGUAUUCUUGCACUGUCAGGGCUGAUGGAUGCACGUGGUAAGCCGGUCCUUCUCUGCGGAUGCAAUGACAACACUGUUCGCUUGUGCGAGCUCCCAUCGUUCACUGAAAGGGGCAAGAUAUUCUCAAGACGAGAAGUGAGGACUCUUGAGACGGCUCCCGGAGGCCUAUUCUUCAUGGGAGAUGCCGCGGGGAUUCUUACCGUUUGGAAAUGAUUGGAUUCUCCGAAGAGCCAAAAAGAGCAGCUUCCUCAUUCGAUGGAGUCAUGCUAAGUAGAAGAGAGAAUCAAGAUAUGGACGUUGGAGUUCAAAUUUCACAAGGAAGACAUUGUUAUCUAUGCCCCGGCGCAACUGAGAUUGUGAUUUAGAGCAAGAAACCGGAUGGCUGUAACUACUACCGUCUGCGCCGCAAUCCCAAUUUUUGGGCUCUAUCGUUUUUGUACAGACAUUAUUUUUUUGACAGCAACGGUUGGACUUGUAUAUGAUUCACCAUUAGUAAUUGAUAUGCCUUUUGCUAUUCAA